AUACGUAGGGGGCGAGCGUUGUCCGGAAUGAUUGGGCGUAAAGGGCGCGUAGGCGGCGCGGUAAGUCUGGAGUGAAAGUCCUGCUUUCAAGGUGGGAAUUGCUUUGGAUACUGCCGCGCUUGAGUGCAGGAGAGGUUAUCGGAAUUCCCGGUGUAGCGGUGAAAUGCGUAGAGAUCGGGAGGAACACCAGUGGCGAAGGCGGGUAACUGGACUGCAACUGACGCUGAGGCGCGAAAGUGUGGGUAGCAAACAGGAUUAGAUACCCUGGUAGUCCACACUGUAAACGAUGAAUGCUAGGUGUAGGGGGUAUCGACCCCUUCUGUGCCGCAGUCAACACAAUAAGCAUUCCGCCUGGGGAGUACGGCCGCAAGGUUAAAACUCAAAUGAAUUGGCGGGG
This 397-nucleotide ribosomal RNA is filed under the name uncultured bacterium. RNAcentral describes it as "partial 16S ribosomal RNA". It matches the Rfam family "Bacterial small subunit ribosomal RNA", at positions 523 to 918 of the family's 1533-position model. The record is from RNAcentral.